UAGGGAAUCUUCGACAAUGGACGAAAGUCUGACCGAGCAACGCCGCGUGAGUGAAGAAGGUUUUCGGAUCGUAAAACUCUGUUGGUAGAGAAGAACGUUGGUGAGAGUGGAAAGCUCAUCAAGUGACGGUAACUACCCAGAAAGGGACGGCUAACUACGUGCCAG
RNAcentral lists this ribosomal RNA (165 nucleotides) under uncultured bacterium. Its description in RNAcentral is "partial 16S rRNA". It matches the Rfam family "Bacterial small subunit ribosomal RNA", at positions 355 to 511 of the family's 1533-position model. The record is from RNAcentral.